AUGCUCUUGGCUGAAGGUUUCACAGUUCCAACACGGCUCUCUCUUGCAGGAUGCAAGGAACCAUUCUUUUCAUUUGAAGAAUCCGCAAAUUUCACAUCUGUCAAGGGCCUGAGUUUCGUUAGUUGUCAAAUGAUUUCCUUGCCAACAAAUCUGAAGUGCUUCCCCAAUCUGACUAAUCUCGUCAUCUAUAACUGCCCCAAAUUGUCAUCUUUACGAGAUCUGCCAUCCUCCCUCCUGAGCAUAUCUGUAUGGGGUUGUUCUAAGCUCUUGAAGGAGAGUUGCCGAGCACCUGAUGGAGAAAGUUGGCCAAAGAUUGCGCAUAUCCGCUGGAAGACAAUUGGUUAA
This 345-nucleotide ribosomal RNA is filed under the name Triticum aestivum (bread wheat). RNAcentral describes it as "partial small subunit ribosomal RNA". The record is from RNAcentral. Lineage: Eukaryota; Viridiplantae; Streptophyta; Magnoliopsida; Poales; Poaceae.